Molecule: long non-coding RNA, 1574 nt
Organism: Anolis carolinensis (green anole)
Lineage: Eukaryota; Metazoa; Chordata; Lepidosauria; Squamata; Anolidae
Exons: 4
Source: RefSeq, a predicted model, not a curated record
AGCAUCAUUUGAAAGAUUGGAUCAGAACAUGUUUGAAUUUAGAGAACCUUUGUGUUAUUGUGGUUGGAAUGUUGGGCUAUAGUUCUGGAGACCAGGAUUCCAACCUCUGCUUGGGCAUGGAGUGACCCCAGCCAAAUCAUACUUUCUGAAAUUCAGAGGAAGCAAAGGCAACCCCUUUCUGAACAAAGCUUGCUAAGAAAAUACCAUAGGUUUGUCACCAUAAGCCAGAAAUGACUUGAAAGCACCCAGGGCAAUGAGAUGGAAUUCUUUGUGCCACAUUGUUCCCAGUGAUAACAACUGACAUCCUCGGGAACUCAUCCACCCAUGGUUUAUUGACGACAAGUACACACAGAUCAGAGCAGCAAUUUUGCUUAGGAGAAGCCACAUUUGGUUCAGCUAAAAUAUGUUCAUUCAGUUCUUAUUAAAACUAUUCAUUGGCAUUUACAUAGAGACAAAUGGAAAGCAGGAGACCAUUGCAUAAAAUCAUGGCCAUAGCCUGCACAUUAUUUUUGUAGUUAUUUUCAGAGACCACCUAACAUUGAAGCAGAUUUGCAUACUAGUGCGAUCCUCCACAAUUAUGAACACAUUCUGUUUUUAAAAUAACUCCAUCUGGGUAUAUUUGCAAGAGCUUUCUUGAUUCAGCAGCAGCAAAAUCUCAAAUCAGUUAUCAGAACCAACUACUGAGAGCAGGAUUUCACAGAAUCAAAUGUUCAUCAAUGAGCAAAGAAACAUCUGCUCCUCUGGCUCUGGGCACUGGGAGCUCAAGGAGUGCAUGGAGUUAGAUGCCUAAAAAUAGUGGCAGACGGAAAGCCACAAUCGAGCUACUGUGAAGAAAGGAGAGAGAAAAAAAACCCCUCUUACCUCAGAUAGCUGAUCCUAAAUGCUAUUCUUAAUCUGAAUUCUGUCCAAGAUGUCUUAAGAGAAAACCAAGAGAGUAAUACCAGAUCAAGAAGAGAAAACAGACUGACUCCAACAAACUGUGUGAUCAGCAAGAAAUAUGCAAGCUUUUCUAGAGAUUCCUCAAGAGCCAUUCUUCUGUGUAAUCUAGUAAGAAAGCCAUUAAAAGCAGUUCCCGGGCCACAAAGAAAACAUUUGCUUAUUGAGUCAUAUCCUUUGAAAUAUAUUUGUGCAUUAAGCUUUCUGUGGGGAAACCCACAGGGGCAAAACACAAAAACACACACACAUGCCUCAGCAGACUACUCUUUUAACCUCACCCGAUAUAUGGCAUAAUGGAUGAGUGCUAACAUUGUAUGCACUUAAAUCAAAAUGUAGAUAUGAAGAAUUGUCUUUCUUCCACCCCCUUUUCCUACUGCUUUAGCACAUGAGAUGAAACAUUAAUAGAAGGAGUUGGAUGUGCCUAAAGAUAAAGCUGCCACCUACUCAUCAUCCAGAAUGCUGACUUCCUCCUCCAAGCUGUCAAAAAGUAAAAAUAAAAAAGGACCUACUUACCUCUCUGUAAUGACUUUUCAGAAACUAGUGAAAAAUCUUUCCUCUUUGGUUUGUGGAUUCUUCUUUUGUUGAAUUGGUUGAACUGGGAUGAGGAUGAUGGUAACUGGGAUGAGGAUGAUGGUUGA